AAUCCGUGGUGAGGGUAAUCACGUUUAUACUCCUUUAAACGUUCCCAGGCUUCAUAGAAAGAUGCAGUUGGCCCUUGUGAAAGUUUGAGAUCUUUGUUCUCAACU
RNAcentral lists this small nucleolar RNA (105 nucleotides) under Eutrema salsugineum. RNAcentral describes it as "Plant small nucleolar RNA R71". It matches the Rfam family "Plant small nucleolar RNA R71". Rfam says of the family: R71 is a member of the C/D box family of snoRNAs containing the C (UGAUGA) and D (CUGA) box motifs. The record is from Rfam by way of RNAcentral. Lineage: Eukaryota; Viridiplantae; Streptophyta; Magnoliopsida; Brassicales; Brassicaceae.